RNAcentral lists this ribosomal RNA (497 nucleotides) under uncultured bacterium. RNAcentral's name for it is "partial 16S ribosomal RNA". It matches the Rfam family "Bacterial small subunit ribosomal RNA", at positions 28 to 507 of the family's 1533-position model. The record is from RNAcentral.
GAUGAACGCUGGCGGCGUGCCUAAUACAUGCAAGUCGAGCGAACAGACGAGGAGCUUGCUCCUCUGACGUUAGCGGCGGACGGGUGAGUAACACGUGGAUAACCUACCUAUAAGACUGGGAUAACUUCGGGAAACCGGAGCUAAUACCGGAUAAUAUAUUGAACCGCAUGGUUCAAUAGUGAAAGACGGUUUUGCUGUCACUUAUAGAUGGAUCCGCGCCUCAUUAGCUAGUUGGUAAGGUAACGGCUUACCAAGGCGACGAUGCGUAGCCGCCCUGAGAGGGUGAGCGGCCACACUGGAACUGAGACACGGUCCAGACUCCUACGGGAGGCAGCAGUAGGGAAUCUUCCGCAAUGGGCGAAAGCCUGACGGAGCAACGCCGCGUGAGUGAUGAAGGUCUUCGGAUCGUAAAACUCUGUUAUUAGGGAAGAAAAAAUGUGUAAGUAACUAUGCACGUCUUGACGGUACCUAAUCAGAAAGCCACGGCUAACUACGUG